Molecule: ribosomal RNA, 362 nt
Filed under: uncultured Bacteroidota bacterium
Lineage: Bacteria; Pseudomonadati; Bacteroidota
Description: bacterial SSU rRNA
Rfam family: Bacterial small subunit ribosomal RNA
Source: RNAcentral
CGGUCGCCUGCGAGGUGCUGCAUGGUUGUCGUCAGCUCGUGCCGUGAGGUGUUGGGUUAAGUCCCGCAACGAGCGCAACCCCUAUUCAGUUGCAGCGGUAAUGCUGAGGACUCUGGAGAGACUGCCGCGUAAGCGGAGGAAGGUGGGGACGACGUCAAAUCAUCAUGGCCUUUAUGCCUGGGGCGACACACGUGCUACAAUGGCGUAUACAGAGGGAGCCAGACCGCGAGGUUGAGCGAAUCCCACAAAGUACGUCCCAGUUCGGAUCGAAGUCUGCAACCCGACUCGUGAAGGGGAAUCGCUAGUAAUCGCGCAUCAGCCAUGGCGCGGUGAAUACGUUCCCGGACCUUGUACACACCUCC